CCUGGUUGAUCCUGCCAGUAGUCAUAUGCUUGUCUCAAAGAUUGAGCCAUGCAUGUCUCAGUGCGAGUCAAAUUAAGGUGAAACCGCGAAUGGCUCAUUAAAUCAGUUAUGGUUUCUUAGAUCGUACACACAUUUACUUGGAUAACUGUGGUAAUUCUUGAGCUGAUACAUGCAAACAGAUUUCCGACCAGAGAUGGAAGGAAUGCUUUYAUUAGAUCAAAACCAAUCGGCGGCGGGUACGUCCCGUCCGCCGUUUACCUUGGUGACUCUGAAUAACUUUGGGCUGAUCGCACGGUCUCGUACCGGCGACGCUUCUUUCAAAUGUYUGCCUUAUCAACUGUCGAUGGUAGGCUCUGCGCCUACCAUGGUUGUAACAAGUAACGGGGAAUCAGGGUUCGAUUCCGGAGAGGGAGCCUGAGAAACGGCUACCACAUCCAAGGAAGGCAGCAGGCGCGCAAAUUACCCACUCCCGGCACGGGGAGGUAGUGACGAAAAAUAACGAUACGGGACUCAUCCGAGGCCCCGUAAUCAUAAUGAGUACACUUCAAAUCCUUCAACGAGGAUCCAUUGGAGGGCAAGUCUGGUGCCAGYAGCCGCGGUAAUUCCAGCUCCAAUAGCGUAUAUUAAAGUUGUUGCGGUUAAAAAGCUCGUAGUUGAAUCUGUGUCCCACGCUGUCGGUGCACCGCUCACGGUGUUCAACUGCACGGAAAAAAAAAUUCAGCUCGUGGAACUAAAUAUUAGAUAGUUACUUGUAAACAGUUYGUCGAACUAAACGUUCUGUUAUUGGAAGAGCACUGCAUGGUUCGUAUAACUGACUGUUAGUCAGCUGUCAUAGCUGUACGUUGUUCAGCUCUCUSAGCUAAACAGCUUCGUUCGAAGAGCUAGACCAGAAUUUUUCGGCUCCGCUCACAGCGCUUAUUAAUGAAUAGUACAAUUAUAUUGCUAUUCGUAUUAUUUUUCAUCAUUAUUAUCAUUAUUUAUUCAGUGUCAUUUACAUAUUUGAAUGGACUAUUUAAACAAUUAUCUAUCAACUGUAUUUGAAUCAUACUAAUGAAAUUUGAAGGUUAUGAAAUAUGUCAACGCACCAGAGCACAGCGCAACUUACUCUUAGAGCAAAACCAUUCGGCUGUGAGAGCUGAACAACUUGCAGCUACCAGAGCUGACUAAUAUAUAGUUGCUGUAACUACAAGAUAGACCGUAGAGUGCGUAUAGUUACUGGAGCUGUAGAAUACAGCUCG
RNAcentral lists this ribosomal RNA (1238 nucleotides) under Neodiprion lecontei (redheaded pine sawfly). RNAcentral's name for it is "SSU rRNA". Lineage: Eukaryota; Metazoa; Arthropoda; Insecta; Hymenoptera; Diprionidae. The record is from RNAcentral.